RNAcentral lists this ribosomal RNA (507 nucleotides) under uncultured bacterium. Its description in RNAcentral is "bacterial SSU rRNA". It matches the Rfam family "Bacterial small subunit ribosomal RNA", at positions 28 to 531 of the family's 1533-position model. The record is from RNAcentral.
GACGAACGCUGGCGGCGUGCUUAACACAUGCAAGUCGAACGGAGUUACGUAUGAAGUAUUUCGGUACGGACUAUGUAACUUAGUGGCGAACGGGUGAGUAACACGUGGGCAACCUGCCCUUAACCGGGGGAUAACAUUGUGAAAACAGUGCUAAUACCGCAUAACAGAGUAUCGGGCAUCCGAUAUUUUUAAAAGGAGCAAUCCGGUUUAGGAUGGGCCCGCGUCCAAUUAGCUAGUUGGUGAGGUAACGGCUCACCAAGGCUACGAUUGGUAGCCGAACUGAGAGGUUGAUCGGCCACAUUGGGACUGAGACACGGCCCAGACUCCUACGGGAGGCAGCAGUGGGGAAUAUUGGGCAAUGGGCGAAAGCCUGACCCAGCGACGCCGCGUGAAGGAUGAAGGUCUUCGGAUUGUAAACUUCUUUGAUCAGGGAAGAAAGAAAUGACGGUACCUGAAGAACAAGCCACGGCUAACUACGUGCCAGCAGCCGCGGUAAGAUCACGUGUA